UAAGGAAUAUUGGUCAAUGGAGGCAACUCUGAACCAGCCAUGCCGCGUGCAGGAAGAAGGCCCUAUGGGUCGUAAACUGCUUUUGAACAAGAGAAAACCCCGGUACGUGUACUGGGUUGAUAGUAUUGUUAGAAUAAGCAUCGGCUAACUUCGUGCCAGCAGCCGCGGUAAGACGAAGGAUGCAAGCGUUAUCCGGAUUCAUUGGGUUUAAAGGGUGCGUAGGCGGACUGAUAAGUCAGUGGUGAAAUCUCUCGGCUUAACCGAGAAACUGCCAUUGAUACUGUUAGUCUAGAGUACAGAUGAUGUGGGCGGAAUAUGACAUGCAGUGGUGAAAUACUUAGAUAUGUCAUAGAACACCGAUUGCGAAGGCAGCUCACAAAACUGUAACUGACGCUGAGGCACGAAAGUGCGGGGAUCAAACAGGAUUAGAUACCCCUGUAGUCCCUGAGCGGGCUGGCAAGGCGC
RNAcentral lists this ribosomal RNA (465 nucleotides) under uncultured bacterium. Its description in RNAcentral is "bacterial SSU rRNA". It matches the Rfam family "Bacterial small subunit ribosomal RNA", at positions 355 to 823 of the family's 1533-position model. The record is from RNAcentral.